This is a non-coding RNA of Epinephelus lanceolatus (giant grouper), 1794 nucleotides long. Lineage: Eukaryota; Metazoa; Chordata; Actinopteri; Perciformes; Serranidae. The record is from RefSeq and is a predicted model, not a curated record.
CUCCUGUCAGGCCCUGGAGCAACACUGCAGAGUGGAGUCUGGCUUCUCCGGGAUCCGUGAUGUUUACACCACGACAGCCAGCCACGAUAACAUGCAGCAGAGCUUCUUCCUCUCAGAGACACUCAAGUAUCUGUACCUGCUCUUCUCUGACGACGACCUCCUCCCUCUGGAGGACUGGGUCUUCAACACAGAAGCCCACCCGCUGCCCGUCAUCCGCAACAGCUGCCUGCAGGACGAAGCAACACAGGACAAGACAGUCGCUGAAUAAGACUGAACACCACCCUGAGGACUGAGACAGUUACAGACACAUCUGCACAGCUCAUGUGCACACACAGAGUCACACAAAUAUUGCAAACACAGAUUCAAUGCAGGUUCAGAGUCUUUUCAGGAGCGUGUCAUGGACUCUCAAUUCCUUUCCAGUAAAGGAUGUUGUCGUUUUACGCUGUGAUUGUAUAUCCUUUCGCCGGGGUUACUUCCUGCUGGCACUUCUUUUUUGUGGACAAUCAAGACAAACAUGACUUUCAUGAAAAGAGCACCUUUUUCUUUCCUUCUUUCCUCUGUGAGGAAACCAGUAUAACUUGCAGACCCAAAUGUAAUGGGAGGAGGGUUGAACCAUGGGCCAUAUUGUUAGAAAGAGAGAGAAACGUAUAGAAAACCACUUGAGUUUUGCUCUUUGAGUUUGUUGUUUCGUUAAUCUUUAGUGAUGAAAGAUUUCCUUUUAUCUCGUCAUUGCAUCUUUUCCUUUGUGAGUACGCUCUUUGACCAAAGGUUUCUUUGCAUUUCUAUUUUUCCCUCUUUUAUAGUAACGUGUUUAUGGUGAGAUUUGACAGAAAGUGAAAUUAACAGUAAGGACUGAAUUGUAAUGAAUAUUGAUAAUGUACAGACAAACAUGAAAUGUGAUUCUCGAAUCCACCUCCAAACUAAUGUUGAUGUCAUGUUUCCUACUGAAACAAGCUUGAAUGAAUUUCUUAAAAGUUCGGAGGUGUCAGGAAAGUGGCAGUGUCUUAUGCAUCCAGGGACCAUUUCUUUUUAAAGACAAUGUUGGGUUGAGUUUCCACUGUAUGCUUGGGUUACUUUGUGAACAGGACAAAGCUUUCUCAGUCCUCUCAGCCUUUCAAAGCAGAGUAUGGAGUACUGUCUGUUCUGUGGCUGUAAUGCAUAAAAGGAAAAAAAAGAACACAUUUGCUAGCCAGCUCCAAAUGGGUUUUCCUGUUUCUGUUGUAGUUCUUCUGCUUCACUCUGCCUUUACUUGUGAAUCCAUACGGCUGCCAAUACCGAUGCUAAAGGCUGUGAGCGCGAGAGCAGAGACGAGUUUUCAUUUCCAUCACUGUUCUUUUCAUCACUGCUGUCCUGCACAGUUUGUGGAGCGAAUGUGCUGUACAUACAGAUGAAGCGAGUGACCGACCCCUGUAUGAGCUUGUCUUGAUUUUAUUUUGUGAUCUUUUCUUUCUUUCUUUUCUUUUUUUUUUAUUUCUAAACUUCAGUGGUUACUUUUUCUGGGUUCUCUUUUGAUUUGCUUCCCUCAGGUGUUUCAGUAAAAAACAAAAACAAAACAAAAAAAAAACUAAAAAAAAGUUCUGACUUUAAGUCUAGUUAUUGCUGAUAUUAAUUAUUGUUAUUACUUAUUCUUACUGUUUGAUUUAACUUUCAUUGUUGAAUAUUUUCAAAUACUGAUAAAAAGACCUGUGCAACUUUGUACAUUUAAAACAAUCCCAGUCGUUCAGUGUGUUUUUUUUUUUUUUUUGUUUGCCCUGUUUGUUUACUUCUCACUAUAAAGCCAGGAAUUUCUGUCUG